CGGGAACGUCUUGCUGCUGCAGCGUCUUGCCAGAUUUAGCUGCAGUUCUCUCGGCCAGAACGAUCUUCUUGUAAUCCCGAGGAAACACCUUGAUGAAUUUAGGAAGGAGGGCGUCGAAUUCGGACAGGACCUGCUUCGACAACUUGCUGUGUGUGGCGUACUUGUGCUGGUUUAUCAUCUUCUUUAAUAUUUCGAUGUCCUCACUGUCUUCAACCCUAUCCAGGUCCACUAACUCCUUGUUGCAUCGACUCUCGAACUUGCCGUCCACGUCCAGAACGUAGGCAACACCACCACUCAUGCCGGCGGCGAAAUUUCGACCUGUUUUGCCAAGUAUGACGGCGAUACCGCCCGUCAUGUACUCACACCCGUGAU
Molecule: long non-coding RNA, 372 nt
Filed under: Zostera marina
Lineage: Eukaryota; Viridiplantae; Streptophyta; Magnoliopsida; Alismatales; Zosteraceae
Description: long non-coding RNA (ZMAR_LNC004726)
Source: RNAcentral